UCGAGUAGCUGCAAUUGAGAGUUGAGAGUUGAGGCUUGAUAGUGUUUCUGCCGAUGUAUUGAACCUGCCUGGCUGGAAACCUGAAAGUCAUUGCUGAACUUGGCAGGUGAAAAGGAAUGAUGGCGGUAAUGGCGAGCUUCGUUAGCAUCUCUGCUCCUCCGGUCAUCUAUCGGAAUCGGAAUCGUUGUCGUUCGCCACAUCAUGGUAUUACCCAUACAAUCCAAUUCAAGGGAGCAGCAGUGAUAUUGCCUGUGAAAUGUUCCGGGCCAACUGAGAACGCGGAUUCGGAAGCUGAAGAAUCGUACCGUCCUUCGUGGAGUCUUUCUGCAUACAAAUGGUACGCAGGACUUGGAGCCUUGGGGUUUAUCGAAACCGGAUACUUGACUUAUCUCAAGUUUACAAAUUCCGAUGCCUUCUGCCCUGUUAGUGGCGGCAGUUGCAGUGAUAUCCUCAACAGUGAUUAUUCCUAUGUUUUUGGUGUUCCUCUUCCAUUGAUUGGUAUGGUUGCAUACGGGUUAGUUGCAUCAGUGGGUCUACAUCUGUCGGGGAAGAGUUUGCUUUCUGGACUGGGUGAAACUGAUGGUCGCUUGAUUUUACUUGGGAGCUCAACGUCGAUGGCAGCGGCUAGUGCAUACUUUUUAUACCUUCUGAGCACAAAGUUUGCAGGAGCAUCAUGCUCUUACUGCUUGAUGUCAGCUGUUCUGUCUUUCAGCUUGUUUUUCCUCACACUAAAGGAAUUCGGGUUGCAAGAGAUACAAAAGAUGGUGGGUCUGCAGCUAGUUAUAGCCAGUGCAGUAAUUGCUGCUUUGAGUACUUCGUAUAGUACUCAAGCUACUCAAACUGUAUCCACGAGGUCAGCAGAAAUUGAUCUGCAACCAUUUACAAUUGAGAUAAAAACAGAAUCAAGUCCCUUAGCUAUUUCUCUAGCAAAGCAUCUGCAUUCCAUAGGAGCUAAAAUGUAUGGAGCUUUCUGGUGUUCUCAUUGCUUAGAACAGAAAGAGAUGUUUGGACGUGAAGCAGCAAAGAUGUUAGACUAUGUAGAAUGCUUCCCAGGUGGAUAUAGGAGAGGAACCAAAAUAGACAAGGCAUGUGCAGAUGCUGGAAUUGAAGGUUUCCCAACUUGGGUGAUAAACGGCCAGGUUUUGAGUGGUGAACAAGAAUUUUCAGAACUGGCAGCAUCAUCCGGAUUUGUUCUCAAAGAUUUCAAUCCCAGCUGAUCAGAUUCCAAUGUAGCAAUCAUGCUGAACUGAAACGUGCGGAUUUUACAUGGCCUUAAUUCAGCUUAUGUUGUUGAAAACCAUUUUAUGCCUCCAACAAUUUUGAAGAACAUGGAAGCUUCAACAGAUCUGAAGAAUUUGGGAGGUCCAGGGUGACGCAUAGGAGUCAUUCAUGUAUAUAGUACAGCCUCCCUUCCCACCUCUUUUGGCUCCAUAUACCUGGACAUAUUGAUCCAAUCUCUUGCUUUGUUGUAGAGUAAAUACAAAAGGCACUGUAAAUGUUCUCAUGUGGUUCCCAUCAUUUACCAUCUUUGGUAAUGAUGGUUUUACCCAUUUCUUGAGGCCAAAUCAUUGCUGAAGGCAUAUUUUGCAUCCUUUGUAGCAAGGACUCUAGCUAUAAAUUGGUUGGAACUUUUCUAGUGUUUCAUAACAGUGAUUUAAGGACUUGAGCAAAUUCUGUUUGCUAUUAAGGCUUUUUUUUUUU
This is an RNA transcript of Telopea speciosissima, 1701 nucleotides long. It is a transcript of the gene named thiol-disulfide oxidoreductase LTO1, with no coding region annotated. NCBI's taxonomy places the organism in Eukaryota, Viridiplantae, Streptophyta, Magnoliopsida, Proteales, Proteaceae. The transcript is spliced from 8 exons. The record is from RefSeq and is a predicted model, not a curated record.